ACAGGUGGUGCAUGGUUGUCGUCAGCUCGUGUCGUGAGAUGUUGGGUUAAGUCCCGCAACGAGCGCAACCCCUACGUUUAGUUGCUAACGCGUGAAGGCGAGCACUCUAGACGAACUGCCGUUGACAAAACGGAGGAAGGUGGGGAUGACGUCAAAUCAUCAUGCCCCUUAUGUUCUGGGCUACACACGUGCUACAAUGGCCGGUACAGACGGAGGCGAAGCCGCGAGGCGGAGCAAAUCCGAAAAAGCCGGUCUCAGUUCGGAUUGCAGGCUGCAAUUCGCCUGCAUGAAGUCGGAAUCGCUAGUAAUCGCAGGUCAGCAUACUGCGGUGAAUACGUUCCCGGGCCUU
RNAcentral lists this ribosomal RNA (349 nucleotides) under uncultured Pelotomaculum sp. Its description in RNAcentral is "bacterial SSU rRNA". It matches the Rfam family "Bacterial small subunit ribosomal RNA", at positions 1034 to 1382 of the family's 1533-position model. Lineage: Bacteria; Bacillati; Bacillota; Clostridia; Eubacteriales; Desulfotomaculaceae. The record is from RNAcentral.